Long non-coding RNA from Hirundo rustica (Barn swallow), 466 nucleotides. RefSeq lists it as uncharacterized. The record is from RefSeq and is a predicted model, not a curated record. The transcript is spliced from 3 exons. NCBI's taxonomy places the organism in Eukaryota, Metazoa, Chordata, Aves, Passeriformes, Hirundinidae.
UGCCAUCCUUGGCCCCUCCUUUUCAUCUGAGAAUUGGCUAAAUGGCAAAUAAAUAAUCAAGCCAGUGUAUGGGUGGAGUAGCCAUUGGGAAGUUGAUGUCUACUUAUGUAAUUACAAAACUAUUUGAAAGGGUAACAGUUGUGGCAAUGGAUAUAAAGUGCUUCUCUCCCCACCCUUUAUUUUGCUCCUUGUCUCUCAGCAAUAAUUCUCCAGGACUCUGGCUUACAGCGUGUUUAGGAGCAGCUCUCUAGUAUCAAACUUCCUUCUACAGUGGUCAAGAUUCAGCUUCCCAAGAGUAAUAAUGAUUCCUCCCUCAGGACUUUUCCCUCAGCCUGUUUGCUUUGUUGGAAGUGAGAGCAUUCCUUCACAUCUCCUCUAACACGUGCUUAACGAACAUCUUCUGUGCCCGAGCACACAACAUCCUUACCCUUGAAGAAAGCAGCCCCAGCAAGGAGAAUGCUGACAU